CCCAGACUCCUACGGGAGGCAGCAGUGAGGAAUAUUGGUCAAUGGCCGGAAGGCUGAACCAGCCAAGCCGCGUGAGGGAGGAAGGCGCAGGGCGUCGCAGACCUCUUUUGCCGGGGGACAAAAGGCCGGACUCGUCCGGUCCUGAGGGUACCCGGAGAAAAAGCAUCGGCUAACUCCGUGCCAGCAGCCGCGGUAAUACGUAGGUGGCAAGCGUUGUCCGGAUUUACUGGGUGUAAAGGGCGUGUAGCCGGGUUGACAAGUCAGAUGUGAAAUCCUGCGGCUUAACCGCAGAACUGCAUUUGAAACUGUUGAUCUUGAGUACUGGAGAGGCAGACGGAAUUCCUAGCGUAGCGGUGAAAUGCGUAGAUAUUAGGAGGAACACCAGUGGCGAAGGCGGUCUGCUGGACAGCAACUGACGGUGAGGCGCGAAAGCGUGGGGAGCAAACAGGAUUAGAUACCCUUGUA
Molecule: ribosomal RNA, 465 nt
Filed under: uncultured bacterium
Lineage: Bacteria
Description: partial 16S ribosomal RNA
Rfam family: Bacterial small subunit ribosomal RNA
Source: RNAcentral